RNAcentral lists this ribosomal RNA (378 nucleotides) under uncultured bacterium. RNAcentral's name for it is "bacterial SSU rRNA". It matches the Rfam family "Bacterial small subunit ribosomal RNA", at positions 28 to 402 of the family's 1533-position model. The record is from RNAcentral.
GACGAACGCUGGCGGCGUGCCUAACACAUGCAAGUCAGGGAGAAUGGGGUAGCAAUAUCCCUAGUAAACCGGCGCAAGGGUGAGUAACACGUAAGCAAUCUGCCUUUUGGACGGGAAUAACUUCGAGAAAUCGAGGCUAAUACCCGAUAAUGCAGCGGCAUCGCAUGAUGACAGUUGUUAAAGGCCGUAAGGUGCCAAAAGAUGAGCUUGCGUCCCAUUAGCUGUUGGCGGGGUAACGGCCCACCAAGGCGACGAUGGGUAGCUGGUCUGAGAGGACGAUCAGCCACACUGGAACUGAGACACGGUCCAGACUCCUACGGGAGGCAGCAGUGAGGAAUAUUGCGCAAUGUCCGAAAGGGUGACGCAGCGACGCCGCGU